GGUUGUUUUGGUAGCUCCUAUGCUAAAAUUGGAACAAUAUAGAGAAGGUUAGCAUGGCCCUCGUGCAACAGUGACAUGCAAAUCCAUGAAGCAUUUCAUGUUUUU
Talpa occidentalis (Iberian mole) is the source of this 105-nucleotide small nuclear RNA. NCBI's taxonomy places the organism in Eukaryota, Metazoa, Chordata, Mammalia, Eulipotyphla, Talpidae. The record is from RefSeq and is a predicted model, not a curated record.